AGAUUGAACGCUGGCGGCAUGCCUAACACAUGCAAGUCGAACGGGAGUAGCAAUACUCUAGUGGCGGACGGGUGAGGAAUACGUAGGAAUUUGCCCUUAAGUGGGGGAUAACCCGGGGAAACCCGGAUUAAUAACCGCAUGACCUCGAAAGAGCAAAGUGGGGGAUCGCAAGACCUCACGCUUUUGGAGAAGCCUACGUCGGAUUAGCUAGUUGGUGAGGUAAUGGCUCGACCAAGGCGACGAUCCGUAACUGGUCUGAGAGGAUGAUCAGUCACACCGGAACUGAGACACGGUCCGGACUCCUACGGGAGGCAGCAGUGGGGAAUAGUUGGACAAUGGGCGCGAAGGCCUAGGAUCCAGCAAUGCCGCGUGUGUGAAGAAGGCCUUGGUUGUAAGUCACGUUUAACGUU
This 410-nucleotide ribosomal RNA is filed under the name uncultured soil bacterium. RNAcentral's name for it is "bacterial SSU rRNA". It matches the Rfam family "Bacterial small subunit ribosomal RNA", at positions 26 to 443 of the family's 1533-position model. The record is from RNAcentral.